UACGGGGGGAGCAAGCGUUGUUCGGAUUUACUGGGCGUAAAGGGCGCGUAGGCGGUCAGCACAAGUCAGUUGUGAAAUCUCCGGGCUUAACUCGGAAAGGUCAACUGAUACUGUGCGACUAGAGUGCAGAAGGGGCAAUCGGAAUUCUUGGUGUAGCGGUGAAAUGCGUAGAUAUCAAGAGGAACACCUGAGGUGAAGACGGGUUGCUGGGCUGACACUGACGCUGAGGCGCGAAAGCCAGGGGAGCAAACGGG
RNAcentral lists this ribosomal RNA (254 nucleotides) under uncultured bacterium. RNAcentral's name for it is "partial 16S ribosomal RNA". It matches the Rfam family "Bacterial small subunit ribosomal RNA", at positions 524 to 776 of the family's 1533-position model. The record is from RNAcentral.